This 292-nucleotide ribosomal RNA is filed under the name uncultured bacterium. RNAcentral describes it as "partial 16S ribosomal RNA". It matches the Rfam family "Bacterial small subunit ribosomal RNA", at positions 505 to 796 of the family's 1533-position model. The record is from RNAcentral.
GUGUCAGCAGCCGCGGUAAUACGAAGGGUGCAAGCGUUAAUCGGAAUUACUGGGCGUAAAGCGUGCGUAGGUGGUUCGUUAAGUCUGUUGUGAAAGCCCUGGGCUCAACCUGGGAAUGGCGAUGGAUACUGGCGAGCUAGAGUACGGUAGAGGAUGGUGGAAUUCCCGGUGUAGCGGUGAAAUGCGUAGAGAUCGGGAGGAACAUCAGUGGCGAAGGCGGCCAUCUGGACCAGUACUGACGCUGAGGCACGAAAGCGUGGGGAGCAAACAGGAUUAGAUACCCCCGUAGUCC